ACGGCGAGUGAGCGGCAACAGCUCAAUUUGAAAUCUGGCGUCUUUGGCGUCCGAGUUGUAAUUUGCAGAGGGCGCUUUGGCAUUGGCAGCGGUCCAAGUUCCUUGGAACAGGACGUCACAGAGGGUGAGAAUCCCGUACGUGGUCGCUAGCCUUUACCGUGUAAAGCCCCUUCGACGAGUCGAGUUGUUUGGGAAUGCAGCUCUAAAUGGGAGGUAAAUUUCUUCUAAAGCUAAAUACUGGCCAGAGACCGAUAGCGCACAAGUAGAGUGAUCGAAAGAUGAAAAGCACUUUGGAAAGAGAGUUAAAAAGCACGUGAAAUUGUUGAAAGGGAAGCGCUUGCAGCCAGACUUGCCUGUAGUUGCUCAUCCGGGUUUCUACCCGGUGCACUCUUCUAUAGGCAGGCCAGCAUCAGUUUGGGCGGUUGGAUAAAGGUCUCUGUCAUGUACCUCUCUUCGGGGAGAACUUAUAGGGGAGACGACAUGCAACCAGCCUGGACUGAGGUCCGCGCAUCUGCUAGGAUGCUGGCGUAAUGGCUGUAAGCGG
RNAcentral lists this ribosomal RNA (544 nucleotides) under Ascochyta rabiei. Its description in RNAcentral is "LSU rRNA". It matches the Rfam family "Eukaryotic large subunit ribosomal RNA", at positions 86 to 647 of the family's 3401-position model. Lineage: Eukaryota; Fungi; Ascomycota; Dothideomycetes; Pleosporales; Didymellaceae. The record is from RNAcentral.